RNAcentral lists this ribosomal RNA (493 nucleotides) under uncultured bacterium. RNAcentral's name for it is "partial 16S ribosomal RNA". It matches the Rfam family "Bacterial small subunit ribosomal RNA", at positions 28 to 507 of the family's 1533-position model. The record is from RNAcentral.
GACGAACGCUGGCGGCGUGCUUAACACAUGCAAGUCGAACGGAAAGGCCUGCUUUCCCUUGUGGCUUGCGGGUGCUCGAGUGGCGAACGGGUGAGUAACACGUGAGUGAUCUGCCCCAACUUGGGUAAUAGGCUGGGAAACCGGGUCCUAAUCCCGAUUAGGCUGUCGGGGUGGGCCGGUUGUGGGAAAAGGAUUUGCUCGGGGUUGGGAUGAGCCUGGGGGCUUUCCGGUUGUUGGUGGGGUAAUGGGCCUACAAGGCGGGCACGGGUAGCCGGCCCGAGAGGGGGGACGGGGACAGUGGGACGGGGACACGGGCCCGACUACGAGGGGAGGCAGCAGUGGGGAGUAUUGCACGAUGGGCGGAAGCCUGAGGCAGCGACGCCGCGUGGGGGAUGACGGGCUUCGGGUUGUAAACUCCUUUCGACAGCGAGGAAGCCACCUGGUUGGAAGGGUGGUGACGGUAGUGGUAGAAGAAGCACCGGCUAACUACGUG